RNAcentral lists this ribosomal RNA (468 nucleotides) under uncultured bacterium. RNAcentral's name for it is "partial 16S ribosomal RNA". It matches the Rfam family "Bacterial small subunit ribosomal RNA", at positions 28 to 507 of the family's 1533-position model. The record is from RNAcentral.
GACGAACGCUGGCGGCGUGCUUAACACAUGCAAGUCGAACGGAAAGGCCCUGCUCUUGUUGGUUUCUCGAUUGGCGAACGCGUGAGUAACACGUGAGUAACCUGCCCUUGACUUUGUGAUAACUCUUGGAAACUGGGGCUAAUACCGCAUAUGAUCUCCUGCUGCAUGUUGUUGGUUGGAAAGUUUCGGCUGUUCGGGAUCGACUCGCGGCUUAUCAGCUUCUUGGUGUGGUAGUUGCUGACCAAGGCUUCGACGGGUAGCCGGCAUGAGAGGGUGAACGGGGACAAUAGGACUGAGGGACGGACCAGAAGCGUACGGGAGGCAACAGGGGGGAGUAUUACAGAAUGAGGGGGAGUGAGAGGCAGAGACGCCGCGUGCGGGAUGACGGCCUUCGGGUGGUAAACAGCUGUCGACUGAGACGAAGAGGGAGUGACGGUAAUGGGUAAAGAAGCAACGGCUAACUACGUG